Molecule: non-coding RNA, 747 nt
Organism: Manis javanica (Malayan pangolin)
Lineage: Eukaryota; Metazoa; Chordata; Mammalia; Pholidota; Manidae
Source: RefSeq, a predicted model, not a curated record
AGAAUAAUAAUUAAUGCUUUGAAGCACCUUUUUUAGUCAUCUAAGAAUUUUUUUUUUUUUUCUGUAUGUAGUUCAUGCCUCUAUUUUGUACUUUAAACUGGCUGGAGUACCAAAGGGGUCUUCCUCUUUUAUGAGGGUAUCCUGGAGGUAUUUACCCUGGAGGUGUGCACCAUGGUCAAUGGAUAAGUACGUAUUCAUACCUGAGGAUUUAAUUCAAUUAGCAUAUCUCUUUGAGAAUACCUCCCAAGGACAAGAAAUGGCUAUAAUCAAGAUUCACUUUUAACUGGCAAAUCUAUCAAAUAAGCUACUAAUAACAGAAAUUUCUCCCUUUUUUUUUUUCUCCAGGUCGUAAAAUAGGUGAAAGAAAUUCAGGUGACUUUUUGCCCGAUGCUUUGUCUUCUGGUAACUCACAAGGAAGAAAAAAAUCUUCCCAUGAUCGGUUCUUUAACAAUGAACUUAGGAGUUUAGAAGAGGCUGGAGACAGAUUGAAAAAACACCAUCAUCCGAAUUUAAGAUCAGAAGAUCCCUCAGCAGGUAUGGUUAGAGAAAAAUGGUUACCUAGGAAUCAAGUGCUUGUAUUAAAAUUUAGGAUAAUCAGAUAACCUUUGUUUUGUUUGUAGCACAUGGUCUUAAUGGUAAUAGUAUAGCACUAAAGGCACUAAUUGCGAUCUAUGAGAUUAAUGAAUUCUGUCUUUAGAGAAUUUUGGCAAAGAUGUUGACAUUAAAUCAAGCUUUUUUUAUAACUUU